This 122-nucleotide ribosomal RNA is filed under the name Pachypsylla venusta (hackberry petiole gall psyllid). Lineage: Eukaryota; Metazoa; Arthropoda; Insecta; Hemiptera; Aphalaridae. The record is from RNAcentral.
GCCAACGAUCAUACCACGUUGAAUACACCAGUUUCCUUCAGAUCACUGAAGUUAAGCAACGUCGGGCGUGGUCAGUACUUGGAUGGGUGACCGCUUGGGAACACCACGUAUCGUUGGCUCAU